Molecule: ribosomal RNA, 920 nt
Filed under: Helicodendron paradoxum
Lineage: Eukaryota; Fungi; Ascomycota; Leotiomycetes; Helotiales; Helotiaceae
Description: LSU rRNA
Rfam family: Eukaryotic large subunit ribosomal RNA
Source: RNAcentral
GCAUAUCAAUAAGCGGAGGAAAAGAAAACCAACAGGGAUUGCCUCAGUAACGGCGAGUGCAAGCGGCAACAGCUCAAAUUUGAAAUCUGGCUCCUUCGGGGUCCGAGUUGUAAUUUGUAGAAGAUGCUUUGGGUGUGGCCCUGGUCUAAGUUCCUUGGAACAGGACGUCAUAGAGGGUGAGAAUCCCGUAUGUGACUGGGUGCCCACGCCCGUGUAAAGCUCUUUCGACGAGUCGAGUUGUUUGGGAAUGCAGCUCAAAAUGGGUGGUAAAUUUCAUCUAAAGCUAAAUAUUGGCCAGAGACCGAUAGCGCACAAGUAGAGUGAUCGAAAGAUGAAAAGCACUUUGGAAAGAGAGUUAAACAGUACGUGAAAUUGUUGAAAGGGAAGCGCUUGCAAUCAGACUUGCGCGCCGCUGAUCAUCCCGGGUUCUCCCAGGUGCACUCGGCGGCGCUCAGGCCAGCAUCGGUUCGGGUGGUGGGAUAAAGGCCUUGGGAAUGUAGCUCCUCUCGGGGAGUGUUAUAGCCCUCGGUGCCAUGCCGCCUACCUGGACCGAGGACCGCGCUUCGGCUAGGAUGCUGGCGUAAUGGUUGUAAGCGACCCGUCUUGAAACACGGACCAAGGAGUCUAACAUCUAUGCGAGUGUUUGGGUGCUAAACCCAUACGCGUAAUGAAAGUGAACGUUGGUAAGAACCCUUUAGGGUGCAUUAUCGACCGAUCCUGAUGUCUUCGGACGGAUUUGAGUAUGAGCAUAGCUGUUGGGACCCGAAAGAUGGUGAACUAUGCCUGAAUAGGGUGAAGCCAGAGGAAACUCUGGUGGAGGCUCGCAGCCGGUUCUGACGUGCAAAUCGAUCGUCAAAUUUUGGGUAUAGGGGGCGAAAAGACUAAUCGAAACCAUCUAGUAGCUGGUUUCCUGCCCGAAG